RNAcentral lists this ribosomal RNA (439 nucleotides) under uncultured bacterium. RNAcentral describes it as "partial 16S ribosomal RNA". It matches the Rfam family "Bacterial small subunit ribosomal RNA", at positions 338 to 795 of the family's 1533-position model. The record is from RNAcentral.
CCUACGGGUGGCAGCAGUGGGGAAUAUUGCACAAUGGGGGAAACCCUGAUGCAGCGACGCCGCGUGAGUGAAGAAGUAUUUCGGUAUGUAAAGCUCUAUCAGCAGGGAAGAAGAAAGACGGUACCUGACUAAGAAGCCCCGGCUAACUACGUGCCAGCAGCCGCGGUAAUACGUAGGGGGCAAGCGUUAUCCGGAUUUACUGGGUGUAAAGGAAGCGUAAACGGCUGUGCAAUUCUGAGGUGAAAGCCCAGGGCUCACCCCUGGGACUGCUUUGGAAACUGUGGAGCUGAGGGGCUGGAGGGGAAGUGGAAUUCCUAGUGUAGCGGUGAAAGGGGUAGAUAUUAGGAGGAACACCAGUGGCGAGGCGGCUUACUGGACAGUAACUGACGUUGAGGCUCGAAAGCGUGGGGAGCAAACAGGAUUAGAUACCCUUGUAGUC